RNAcentral lists this long non-coding RNA (228 nucleotides) under Setaria italica (foxtail millet). RNAcentral describes it as "long non-coding RNA (SITA_LNC000038)". The record is from RNAcentral. Lineage: Eukaryota; Viridiplantae; Streptophyta; Magnoliopsida; Poales; Poaceae.
CAUCUUUAAAUCUACAGCUCUGGUCAGGCUCCCGAAAACCCUAUCUUACACAAGAAAGACCUCAUCACGAUCCUCUCUAUCAACAUAGGAAAUCUAAGGGCACGAUUACAAGAACAUGUUAUACUCAUCGGUAGAUCAGGCAUGCAAAUCCGGUCACCACAACCACAUAAACAUCCUAAGAAAUCUAUCAUCGAUCAUAGAUUGAAAAUCAAGCAAACCCAAAAGAGC